ACAAGGAAUAUGAAAAAUUUUAUAAAAUUUUGUGGGAACUAAACAAGGCCAGGAAUGAAGGGUUUUUAAUUAACUCAUGAGGUAGCCAUGUUCGAGAUUGGUGUUUCUUGUUUUUUUUUCUUGCGAAAUCGACAUCGGUGAAUUUGGUAAGGUGUAUACAACGUUUCGUCGAUCUAUAGGUGCACGACUGCCAUUAGGAUAGCUAUAACGAUCGUGCAAUAUAAUUGUAGGAAAAGGAAAGAGUACUAGUACUAUGAUUUAGGUCUUGUUUAGUUCACCCCGAAAUCCAAAAAGUUUUCAAAAUUCUCUAUUACAUCGAAUCUUGCGGCACAUAUAUGAAGCAUUAAAUAGACAAAAAUAAAAACUAAUCACAU
This 374-nucleotide long non-coding RNA is filed under the name Sorghum bicolor (sorghum). RNAcentral describes it as "long non-coding RNA (SBIC_LNC010794)". Lineage: Eukaryota; Viridiplantae; Streptophyta; Magnoliopsida; Poales; Poaceae. The record is from RNAcentral.